Molecule: ribosomal RNA, 449 nt
Filed under: uncultured bacterium
Lineage: Bacteria
Description: partial 16S ribosomal RNA
Rfam family: Bacterial small subunit ribosomal RNA
Source: RNAcentral
AACGAACGCUGGCGGCAUGCCUAACACAUGCAAGUCGAACGAAGCCUUCGGGCUUAGUGGCGCACGGGUGCGUAACGCGUGGGGAUCUGCCCUUUGGUUCGGAAUAACAGUUGGAAACGACUGCUAAUACCGGAUGAUGACGAAAGUCCAAAGAUUUAUCGCCAGAGGAUGAGCCCGCGUAGGAUUAGCUAGUUGGUGUGGUAAAGGCGCACCAAGGCGACGAUCCUUAGCUGGUCUGAGAGGAUGAUCAGCCACACUGGGACUGAGACACGGCCCAGACUCCUACGGGAGGCAGCAGUGGGGAAUAUUGGACAAUGGGCGAAAGCCUGAUCCAGCAAUGCCGCGUGAGUGAUGAAGGCCCUAGGGUUGUAAAGCUCUUUUACCCGGGGUGAUAAUGACAGUACCGGGAGAAUAAGCCCCGGCUAACUCCGUGCCAGCCGCCGCCAUAA